UUUGAUCCUGGCUCAGAUUGAACGCUGGCGGCAUGCCUUACACAUGCAAGUCGAACGGCAGCACGGGAGCAAUCCUGGUGGCGAGUGGCGAACGGGUGAGUAAUACAUCGGAACGUGCCCAAUCGUGGGGGAUAACGCAGCGAAAGCUGUGCUAAUACCGCAUAAGAUCUACGGAUGAAAGCAGGGGAUCGCAAGACCUUGCGCGAAUGGAGCGGCCGAUGGCAGAUUAGGUAGUUGGUGAGGUAAAGGCUCACCAAGCCUUCGAUCUGUAGCUGGUCUGAGAGGACGACCAGCCACACUGGGACUGAGACACGGCCCAGACUCCUACGGGAGGCAGCAGUGGGGAAUUUUGGACAAUGGGCGCAAGCCUGAUCCAGCCAUGCCGCGUGCAGGAUGAAGGCCUUCGGGUUGUAAACUGCUUUUGUACGGAACGAAACGGCUCUUUCUAAUAAAGAGGGCUAAUGACGGUACCGUAAGAAUAAGCACCGGCUAACUACGUGCCAGCAGCCGCGGUAAUACGUAGGGUGCAAGCGUUAAUCGGAAUUACUGGGCGUAAAGCGUGCGCAGGCGGUGAUGUAAGACAGUUGUGAAAUCCCCGGGCUCAACCUGGGAACUGCAUCUGUGACUGCAUCGCUGGAGUGCGGCAGAGGGGGAUGGAAUUCCGCGUGUAGCAGUGAAAUGCGUAGAUAUGCGGAGGAACACCGAUGGCGAAGGCAAUCCCCUGGGCCUGCACUGACGCUCAUGCACGAAAGCGUGGGGAGCAAACAGGAUUAGAUACCCUGGUAGUCCACGCCCUAAACGAUGUCAACUGGUUGUUGGGUCUUCACUGACUCAGUAACGAAGCUAACGCGUGAAGUUGACCGCCUGGGGAGUACGGCCGCAAGGUUGAAUCUCAAAGGAAUUGACGGGGACCCGCACAAGCGGUGGAUGAUGUGGUUUAAUUCGAUGCAACGCGAAAAACCUUACCCACCUUUGACAUGUACGGAAUUUGCCAGAGAUGGCUUAGUGCUCGAAAGAGAACCGUAACACAGGUGCUGCAUGGCUGUCGUCAGCUCGUGUCGUGAGAUGUUGGGUUAAGUCCCGCAACGAGCGCAACCCUUGUCAUUAGUUGCUACAUUUAGUUGGGCACUCUAGUGAGACUGCCGGUGACAAACCGGAGGAAGGUGGGGAUGACGUCAAGUCCUCAUGGCCCUUAUAGGUGGGGCUACACACGUCAUACAAUGGCUGGUACAAAGGGUUGCCAACCCGCGAGGGGGAGCUAAUCCCAUAAAACCAGUCGUAGUCCGGAUCGCAGUCUGCAACUCGACUGCGUGAAGUCGGAAUCGCUAGUAAUCGUGGAUCAGAAUGUCACGGUGAAUACGUUCCCGGGUCUUGUACACACCGCCCGUCACACCAUGGGAGCGGGUUCUGCCAGAAGUAGUUAGCCUAACCGCAAGGAGGGCGAUUACCACGGCAGGGUUCGUGACUGGGGUGAAGUCGUAACAAGGUA
RNAcentral lists this ribosomal RNA (1489 nucleotides) under metagenome. Its description in RNAcentral is "bacterial SSU rRNA". It matches the Rfam family "Bacterial small subunit ribosomal RNA". The record is from RNAcentral.